RNAcentral lists this unclassified non-coding RNA (231 nucleotides) under Hevea brasiliensis (rubber tree). Lineage: Eukaryota; Viridiplantae; Streptophyta; Magnoliopsida; Malpighiales; Euphorbiaceae. The record is from RNAcentral.
UGUGGAUUCGCAGCUGCUGCUUUUCUUCGAGGUGUUAAUUUCAUUCAGAUUCCUACAACUGUUAUGGCACAGGUGGACUCUUCCGUUGGAGGAAAAACUGGGAUAAAUCACACACUUGGGAAGAACCUGAUUGGAGCAUUUUAUCAACCUCAGUGUGUACUCAUAGACACAGACACGCUAAACACUCUGCCGGAUAGGGAAUUGGCAUCAGGCCUUGCAGAGGUCAUAAAG